RNAcentral lists this unclassified non-coding RNA (181 nucleotides) under soil metagenome. RNAcentral describes it as "partial internal transcribed spacer 1". The record is from RNAcentral.
CAGAGUUGCAAAACUCCCCAAACCAUUGUGAACCUACCCAAAGAACCGUUGCUUCGGCGGGCGGCGCCCGGGCCUUCCCCGGGUGCCCCUCGGCCCCCCCGCGGGCGCCCGCCGGAGGAUUUACACAACACCCUGUUGCUCUGUACGGCCUCUCUGAGUCUCUCUGUACUUGAAUAAGUCA